UACGUAGGGUCCGAGCGUUGUCCGGAAUUAUUGGGCGUAAAGAGCUCGUAGGCGGUCUGUCACGUCGGCUGUGAAAACACGGGGCUCAACUCCGUGCCUGCAGUCGAUACGGGCAGACUAGAGUUCGGUAGGGGAGACUGGAAUUCCUGGUGUAGCGGUGAAAUGCGCAGAUAUCAGGAGGAACACCGGUGGCGAAGGCGGUUCUCUGGGCAUUACCUGACGCUGAGGAGCGAAAGUGUGGGGAGCGAACAGG
This 253-nucleotide ribosomal RNA is filed under the name uncultured bacterium. RNAcentral's name for it is "partial 16S ribosomal RNA". It matches the Rfam family "Bacterial small subunit ribosomal RNA", at positions 524 to 776 of the family's 1533-position model. The record is from RNAcentral.